RNAcentral lists this ribosomal RNA (666 nucleotides) under uncultured Micromonosporaceae bacterium. Its description in RNAcentral is "bacterial SSU rRNA". It matches the Rfam family "Bacterial small subunit ribosomal RNA", at positions 136 to 816 of the family's 1533-position model. Lineage: Bacteria; Bacillati; Actinomycetota; Actinomycetes; Micromonosporales; Micromonosporaceae. The record is from RNAcentral.
CUUUGGGAUAACCCUCGGAAACGGGGGCUAAUACUGGAUAUGACCUUCUUCCGCAUGGUGGGGGGUGGAAAGUUUUUCGGCCUGGGAUGGGCUCGCGGCCUAUCAGCUUGUUGGUGGGGUGAUGGCCUACCAAGGCGGUGACGGGUAGCCGGCCUGAGAGGGCGACCGGCCACACUGGGACUGAGACACGGCCCAGACUCCUACGGGAGGCAGCAGUGGGGAAUAUUGCACAAUGGGCGGAAGCCUGAUGCAGCGACGCCGCGUGAGGGAUGACGGCCUUCGGGUUGUAAACCUCUUUCAGUAGGGACGAAGCGUUUUGUGACGGUACCUACAGAAGAAGCGCCGGCCAACUACGUGCCAGCAGCCGCGGUAAGACGUAGGGCGCGAGCGUUGUCCGGAUUUAUUGGGCGUAAAGAGCUCGUAGGCGGCUUGUUGCGUCGACUGUGAAAACCCGGGGCUUAACUGCGGGCUUGCAGUCGAUACGGGCAGGCUGGAGUUCGGUAGGGGAGACUGGAAUUCCUGGUGUAGCGGUGAAAUGCGCAGAUAUCAGGAGGAACACCGGUGGCGAAGGCGGGUCUCUGGGCCGAUACUGACGCUGAGGAGCGAAAGCGUGGGGAGCGAACAGGAUUAGAUACCCUGGUAGUCCACGCUGUAAACGUUGGGCGC